RNAcentral lists this ribosomal RNA (253 nucleotides) under uncultured bacterium. RNAcentral's name for it is "partial 16S ribosomal RNA". It matches the Rfam family "Bacterial small subunit ribosomal RNA", at positions 524 to 776 of the family's 1533-position model. The record is from RNAcentral.
UACGUAGGUGGCAAGCGUUGUCCGGAAUGAUUGGGCGUAAAGCGUCCGCAGGUGGCUGUGUAAGUCUGCUGUUAAAGAGUGAGGCUCAACCUCAUAAAGGCAGUGGAAACUACAUGGCUAGAGUGCGUUCGGGGCAGAGGGAAUUCCUGGUGUAGCGGUGAAAUGCGUAGAGAUCAGGAAGAACACCGGUGGCGAAAGCGCUCUGCUAGGCCGCAACUGACACUGAGGGACGAAAGCUAGGGGAGCGAAUGGG